This 253-nucleotide ribosomal RNA is filed under the name uncultured bacterium. Its description in RNAcentral is "partial 16S ribosomal RNA". It matches the Rfam family "Bacterial small subunit ribosomal RNA", at positions 524 to 776 of the family's 1533-position model. The record is from RNAcentral.
UACAGAGGGUGCGAGCGUUAAUCGGAAUUACUGGGCGUAAAGGGUGCGUAGGUGGUUUGUUAAGUCUGCUGUGAAAUCCCCGGGCUCAACCUGGGAAUGGCAGUGGAUACUGGCAAGCUAGAGUGCGGUAGAGGGUAGUGGAAUUCCCGGUGUAGCAGUGAAAUGCGUAGAGAUCGGGAGGAACACCAGUGGCGAAGGCGGCUACCUGGACCAGCACUGACACUGAAGCACGAAAGCGUGGGGAGCAAACAGG